RNAcentral lists this ribosomal RNA (465 nucleotides) under uncultured bacterium. RNAcentral's name for it is "partial 16S ribosomal RNA". It matches the Rfam family "Bacterial small subunit ribosomal RNA", at positions 28 to 507 of the family's 1533-position model. The record is from RNAcentral.
GACGAACGCUGGCGGCGUGCUUAACACAUGCAAGUCGUACGGUAAGGCCCUUUCGGGGGUCCACGAGUGGCGAACGGGUGAGUAACACGUGAGUAACCUGCCCACAACUUUGGGAUAACGCUAGGAAACUGGUGCUAAUACUGGAUAUGUGCCCCUGCUGCAUGGUGGGGGUUGGAAAGCUCCGGCGGUUGUGGAUGGACUCGCGGCCUAUCAGCUUGUUGGUGGGGUAGUGGCCUACCAAGGCGGCGACGGGUAGCCGGCCUGAGAGGGUGACCGGCCACAGUGGGACUGAGAGACGGCCCAGACUCCUACGGGAGGCAGCAGUGGGGAAUAUUGCACAAUGGGCGCAAGCCUGAUGCAGCAACGCCGCGUGCGGGAUGACGGCCUUCGGGUUGUAAACCGCUUUCAGCAGGGACGAAGCUUUUUGUGACGGUACCUGCAGAAGAAGCACCGGCUAACUACGUG